Molecule: non-coding RNA, 95 nt
Filed under: Tessaracoccus flavescens
Lineage: Bacteria; Bacillati; Actinomycetota; Actinomycetes; Propionibacteriales; Propionibacteriaceae
Description: TPP sequence
Rfam family: TPP riboswitch aptamer (THI element)
About the family: Vitamin B(1) in its active form thiamin pyrophosphate (TPP) is an essential coenzyme that is synthesised by coupling of pyrimidine and thiazole moieties in bacteria. The previously detected thiamin-regulatory element, thi box was extended, resulting in a new, highly conserved RNA secondary structure, the THI element, which is widely distributed in eubacteria and also occurs in some archaea.
Source: Rfam by way of RNAcentral
UGGCUGGCGCCGGGGUGCCCCACACGGGGGCUGAGAUCACACCCGCAACACCUGAUCUAGGUCGUGCUAGCGAAGGGAGCAAGAUGAGCCAGGUC